UAUUAUAGUCCAACCAGCAACCAAAAGUGGUCUGUUCUCAUGCAUUACUACGAGUAGGUAGUAGAAUGGAAGAAACUUGGGCACAAAACUGAGGAGCUUGUUCAUUUAUAUGUGUCAAGGAGUAGCAUUCUUUCACCUGUCUAAGUAUAGUGUGUAAAUUAGUGUAAAGACAAUCAACACAAAGUGAAAAUUGGUAUACAAUUAAAUUCUG
Non-coding RNA from Cinara cedri, 211 nucleotides. The record is from the annotation of a GenBank genome assembly. Lineage: Eukaryota; Metazoa; Arthropoda; Insecta; Hemiptera; Aphididae.